Coriobacteriaceae bacterium BV3Ac1 is the source of this 73-nucleotide non-coding RNA. The record is from Rfam. NCBI's taxonomy places the organism in Bacteria, Bacillati, Actinomycetota, Coriobacteriia, Coriobacteriales, Coriobacteriaceae.
GGCCCCGUAGCUCAGGGGAUAGAGCACAGGUUUCCUAAACCUGGUGUCGACGGUUCGAAUCCGCCCGGGGUCA